This 251-nucleotide unclassified non-coding RNA is filed under the name Ascomycota sp. Its description in RNAcentral is "partial contains small subunit ribosomal RNA, internal transcribed spacer 1, and 5.8S ribosomal RNA". The stretch from base 1 to 47 matches the Rfam family "Eukaryotic small subunit ribosomal RNA", at positions 1785 to 1831 of the family's 1831-position model. The record is from RNAcentral. Lineage: Eukaryota; Fungi; Ascomycota.
AAAGUCGUAACAAGGUCUCCGUAGGUGAACCUGCGGAGGGAUCAUUAACAAACUUGGGUGCGAGCCGGCGAGUGCUUCGGCACUUGCGUUGCGCUCCACACACACCACACCAUGUGUGACCGUGCGCGUGCGGGAAGUCAGAGGUCGCCGGGCGGCCUUCUUCCCGCAUGGCAAAAACUCAAACACGUCUUGACAGUUGUUGAUUGAUAUGUGAAUGGAAUCAACUUUUAACAAUGGAUCUCUUGGCUCUC